RNAcentral lists this ribosomal RNA (480 nucleotides) under uncultured bacterium. RNAcentral describes it as "partial 16S ribosomal RNA". It matches the Rfam family "Bacterial small subunit ribosomal RNA", at positions 28 to 507 of the family's 1533-position model. The record is from RNAcentral.
GACGAACGCUGGCGGCGUGCUUAACACAUGCAAGUCGAACGAUGAAGAAAAGAAUCGAAGCUUCGGCAGAAAUUCAUUUCGGAUUAGUGGCAGACGGGUGAGUAACGCGUGAGCAACCUACCUCUUACAAAGGGAUAGCCUCGGGAAACCGGGAUUAAUACCAUAUAACAUUGUGACGAAGCAUUUCGAUGCAAUCAAAGCUACGGCGGUAAGAGAUGGGCUCGCGUCCCAUUAACCGGAUGGUGAGGUAACGGCUCACCAUAGUGACGAUGGGUAACCGGCCUGAGAGGGUGAACGGUCACACUGGAACUGAGACACGGUCCAGACUCCUACGGGAGGCAGCAGUGGGGAAUAUUGCACAAUGGAGGGAACUCUGAUGCAGCGGCGCCGCGUGAGUGAUGAAGGAAUUCGUUUCGUAAAACUCUGUUCUAUGGGAAGAAAAGGACUGUACCAUAGGAGAAAGCUCCGGCUAAAUACGUG